This 311-nucleotide unclassified non-coding RNA is filed under the name Hevea brasiliensis (rubber tree). Lineage: Eukaryota; Viridiplantae; Streptophyta; Magnoliopsida; Malpighiales; Euphorbiaceae. The record is from RNAcentral.
GAACACAUCUGAGGAUUUUUACAUGACUGCACAAGUAGGUAAAAAUGAUUGACCAAAUCUUCACACACUAAAGAAGUGGAAUCACAGUUUCCAUAUCACUAGUCUCCAAGAUAGAGGGAUCACAGCAGUAAACAUGAUAUCAAACCUUGCCAAACUAAACAAUGUUUCAACAAGAGGAUAUAAUGACAGGACGAAGAUAUGUUGCUGGUGGAAAGGUGGCAAAAUCAACUCCUAUCAGGAUUAGAGGACUUGCUGUAAAUUGUAUUAAACAACAGCUCUGUGCAGUUCCUCUUUCUACCAUGAAGGUUUAU